This 586-nucleotide ribosomal RNA is filed under the name uncultured archaeon. RNAcentral describes it as "bacterial SSU rRNA". It matches the Rfam family "Archaeal small subunit ribosomal RNA", at positions 1 to 594 of the family's 1478-position model. The record is from RNAcentral.
UUCCGGUUGAUCCCGCCGGACCUGACUGCUAUCGGAUUGAUACUAAGCCAUGCGAGUCAUUGUAGCAAUACAAGGCAUACGGCUCAGUAACGCGUAGUCAACCUAACCUAUGGACGGGAAUAACCUCGGGAAACUGAGAAUAAUGCCCGAUAGUACAUUAUACCUGGAAUGGUUUAUGUUCCAAAUGAUUUAUCGCCGUAGGAUGGGACUGCGGCCUAUCAGUUUGUUGGUGAGGUAAUGGCCCACCAAGACUAUUACAGGUACGGGCUCUGAGAGGAGUAGCCCGGAGAUGGGUACUGAGACACGGACCCAGGCCCUAUGGGGCGCAGCAGGCGAGAAAACUUUGCAAUGUGCGAAAGCACGACAAGGUUAAUCCGAGUGGUUUCUGCUAAAGGAACCUUUUGUCAGUCCUAGAAACACUGAUGAAUAAGGGGUGGGCAAGUUCUGGUGUCAACCGCCGCGGUAAAACCAGCACCUCAAGUGGUCAGGAUGAUUAUUGGGCCUAAAGCAUCCGUAGCCGGCUCUGUAAGUUUUCGGUUAAAUCUGUACGCUCAACGUACAGGCUGCCGGGAAUACUGCAAAGCUA